GAAAUGCGAAAAGUAAUGUGAAUUGCAGAUUUUGUGAAUCAUCGAGUCUUCGAACGCACCUUGCGCUCUCGGGUAUUCCCGGGAGCAUGCCUCUUUGAGUGUCAUUUAACCCCUCAAUCUCUGAUUGGAAUUGGGCCGCUAGCAGCGGCCUGAAAGACAAAGUCUCUGUUGAGCGUGCUAAGCGUGAGCUUUGCAGGACUUGGCUUCGGCAACAUCACUCCUGAUCUCAAAUGAGGCAAGACUACCCGCUGAACUUAA
This 258-nucleotide unclassified non-coding RNA is filed under the name uncultured Basidiomycota. RNAcentral's name for it is "sequence contains ITS1". The stretch from base 1 to 104 matches the Rfam family "5.8S ribosomal RNA", at positions 50 to 154 of the family's 154-position model. Lineage: Eukaryota; Fungi; Basidiomycota. The record is from RNAcentral.